AUUAAUAAAAAAUAUUUGGAGGACAGAUAUUUUUAAGAUGACAGUUAAACACUUCUGUAGUCAUAACUAAAAAUAUAAUGAGAAGUAUAUAUUUUAUACAGAUCCUUAAGAUACUUGCAUAGUGACAAUUAUCUUAAAAACAGAUUUCUUUGAAAUGUGCUUCCAAUUACUAAGGAUGUUGAAAAGCUUUUUCUCUUAGUUCAUCUGAUUUCCUUAUAACUUUUAUUAUAUUAUGUUUAAUUUUUGAAAAUUAUUCUUAUAGAUACUAAAAACACAGACCCAAGCUAACACUGCCUGAAUUUUCAUAUAUUCUGUGGAUAUAUUUUAUUAUGUAAAAGAUAAUGACUCUACUUUUCUCUUCCCUCCUUGGGAGAACUUAGAUAAAUAUACCUUCUGACAGAAGCCAAAGCCCUUCUAAACACAAUAUUCUCUGUUCUUUUACCUAUUCCUAGCUAAUAGAUCUUGGCAUGGCUUGGCACGCCUCUUUACAUUACCCUGGUCCAACCUCUCUUGGGAACAGCACAGCUGAGUUUUUUUUUAAUUUGUUUGUUUGUUUUCUUUUACACCGGGCUGCACUGAUGCUGAAUGAAAGCACUAAUGCUGCAAUACGAUGGGGGCUGGAGUAGGCAGCAGUUCAUUUCUUCCAAUGCAAAAGCUGGUCAAACACUACACUAGUGCCAAGAGACCUAUGGAAAAAAUUAAGAAAUGAGUCCUGUCCACCAUGAAUUACAGUUUUGUCACAUGGAAAGAGACAUACACAACGGAAAUAUUUAAGGAAUAGUACAAUACAAUAGUCAAAAUGGGUACUACGUAGCUUCAAAGUUGCAGACAGAGAUGUCGUAUAGGUGAAGUAUGCCCCUUAGCAUGGUACCUACAGAGGAGACACUCAGUAAAUAUGUGGUGAAUUAAGUAAACGAGGGGACAGAAGAAAGGGAGGAAGAGAAAAAAAAGGACAAGAAGAAGAAAGGCUGCUUGAAUUUAAAAGCAGAGGUUUCCUGUGAACUGUUUUCCACGACUCAGAAGAAAAAAGCUUAUCUGUGUUUAGCUGACAAGAACACCUUCAAGACAUUUCCAGAGAGAAAGGAGAAUCAUGGCUUUUCAGUGAGAAGAUACCACAUAGAAAUAUCAUCCCCUUAUUUUACAGAUGAGCUCUUCAUGGAUCUUCUAAGGAGAAGACUCCAACUCACUAACCACUGCUGACUCAUUAAAAUCAAUUCGUAAUGUCAUGCACAUACUGUGUAUCUGUCCAAUUCAUGCACAUACAUCCAGAAUGCAGGAUGCUUUGGUAUCAAAGAACUGUUUAUGAUUGACAAAUACUUCAAUGCCCUAAGAUUCCAUUUUCAUCUUCUUUAAUAAAGAAAAAUAAAUGCAAAAAUACAUGUAAUUAAUUGCUCUGCAUUUUUCCUUCCAGAGAAAUGCAAACCGUAAAUAUCAGUAAGACAUUCUACUAAUAGCUUUAAAGGUUGGCUUAAAUCAUUAUUAAUUAUACAUUUGUACGAAGGUCUGUGAAUGCAUGUCUUGUUUUCUUAUUCAAAGGUUCAGUCAAUAAGGUCAACCCUGCCACUUGCACUCUGAAUGGCAAUGCAAAAAUUUAAUGCCUAUAGAAGUAUAAAUAGAUAUGUGUCCACAUAUAUAUCCUAGUAUCAUAAAGUUACAUUUUAACCAUGUAGCUUGCUUGUGUAUAGGAGAUUACAUUUUUCCAGGAAGGUGGGUAGAUGACUUUUUUAUUGAUUUUUUAAAAUAACUACCUAAUAAAUCUCUCUUGUUGGGCCAGCACAAGGCAAAACUAAAACAACCUCUUUAUUGUAAGGCAAAUGUGUCAUUGGAUAACUUGUAAGUUUUUUAAAUUGGGUCUUUCACUUUUCAACCUGUUCUGAGAUGAGUAACUUAUAUUGCUCCACUCAGAUUGAAUUGUGUUAUUUCUUAUCAUCACCUGACAGCAACUUUUAGAAAAAAAUUAUUGCAGUUCCUUAUAAUAAUUCUACCUCCAAUUACAUUGACUUACUAUUAUGGACAUAUAGUCAGAUGUCAAGGAAUUUUGGCAUUCACCGAGAAGUAGUUACAUUGACUUAGUUCUAGUUUUAGGUUUGAGCUUCCUAACCAAACAUGUAAAGCUUUGCAGUUCCUUAAAUCAUAGAGACUCUCACAGAAGGAUUUCUUAACCUAUGUGCAUAAAUGCCCAAGAGGUCUAUAGAUAGGCUUCGGCAGGUCCGUACAAUUUCUGACACUGUGCAAAAAUCCUCUGCACUUUUUGUGGGAGUACCACAUACCUAUCAUCAGUUUCUCAGAAGGGUUGUUGAUCCUAAAAUGAUUAAGAACCAGUGUUCUUUCUAAUUAAAUAUAACUUAAAACGGCCUCAAUUGUGGAUUUCAGAAUUAUCUUCUCUCAAUGUUCUUUGCAAAAUCAGAUUCAAAUAACCUUGUAUGUUAUAUUCAAAGCCUUCUUUUUAAAAAUGCAUAAGAAUAUUAUGCAUGAACGCUGAUUAUCCAUAGUCUUUUGUUACUUGGCCUCAGAAACUUACAGUUAACAGAUUAGCUCCCUCAUUCUAAUUGCAUUUUUUUUUUAAAUCAGAUUUUGGUUUUCAGUGUGGUAGGUAAAUCCAUCUUCCCAUUGUAUACAAACAAUAGGUUUCAGUAGUGUCAGUUAUAGAGAUCAGGACUUGAACUCUGUUAUCAAAAUGUAUGAUAAUAACUCUAGACCUGAGGAAUUGAAGACUGGCAUGAACUCAGAAAGUCACAGGCUCGUCAAGAGACAUUGCCCAAUAUUUGUCCUUAUAAAAAUCAUCUUUCAGAUAAAAUGAAGCUUCUGCAGCUUUGUUAUACAGACUAAAUAUGCAAACAUCUUAUUUAAGGGGAGAUUUUGAUAAAUUAGUUUUCUCCUUCUGAGAGAAUUGUCUGGAAAUAUGUACCUAAUGAUGUAGAAUUAUAACAGAUUUUUUAAAGGUCUUUGGAAACAGGAUUCACUUUCGAUAUCACUUCGAGAGACAUACAAACUCUAAGGCCUCUUAUCAAAAAGAGAAUAGAGAUUGGAGGCAUCAAUAGAAAGAUGAUACUUUCUAAGACAUUGUACCUAAUCAUCUGUGAAUAGGUUUAUGUGAUGAUGGAAGCCGAUCAGGGCCUGUGGUGAUCAAGGCAUUGUGGUAGUGGCAGCACCACAUUUUUGUGCAGUCAGACACAAACUGGCAUUCUAGUACCUGCUGCCUCAGGAAAUGCCAGAACAGUGCCUAUGUGGACCAAGGUCUCACAGAUGACCUCAUCCCGCAAACCCUUGGCUACAUAGCACCUGUUUAGUGGCCCUGGCCCUUGCUUUUAAGAAAAGGUUCCAACUGAGGGCAAUUAUGUCCCCCAUAGUAUAUUUGGCAAUGUCUGUGAAUAUUUUUGACUGUCACAACUAGAGAGGUAUUGCUGGCAUCUCAUGGGUAGAAGUCAGGGACACUGCGAAAUAACCUACAAUGCAUAGGACAACCCUCACGACAGAGAAUUACCUAUCCCAUGUGUCAAUAGUGCUGAGGUUGAGAAACCCUGCCCUAAAGCCAUGCCGCUUUGAUGACCGUAAGAGGUUAUAUAGAUAGGUUCUAUUUAGACCCACACUACCCAUAGGGUCACUAAAGUUUAGCCCAUUUGACAGAUUUUGAAAUUGCAAUGCUUUGGACAGAGUGAAGUAGAAAAUAUCCUAAAUGUCCUUUCAUUACAGGUUAACACCUAUUCCUUUCCCCAAAAUGCAGAUUAAAUGUCACCUUCUACAGGAACACUUCUCAUGUUAGCAUUAUGCUUCCAUGUAUUCUCAUGAUACCAUGUGCUUACUCUAAUUGCAGCUCUGAUUAUUUCCUGUUCCCCUACCAGGUUAUAAAUUCAUUGAGAACUUGCUGUUUUUAUUAAUCCUUGGGUCUUAGUACCUACCAGAGCUUGGCACAUAAUAAGUACGCAAUAAAUAUAUGUUGAAGGAAAGAGCAAGCUUGGAGAAGUGACUUAAAUUCUCCAUGACCAACAUCCAUCCAGAAUGAAUUUACUCAAGGCUAGUACUAGCAAGCACACUGGCCCCAAGGACAUUUGGCCCCAUGACCUCUGAGGACAUGAAACUGGGGAAUGUCUCACCCCAUGGCCUGUAGGUUUACCAGCAUGAUGGUGGAAAUUUUGGGUCAGCCAUAGCCAUACUAGUCAUAAUGACUUUCAAAUUUUAUUUAAGUAUUUAUUUUAAUAAUAAUAAUUGUAGACAGUCACAGGGUACAGAGUGAUGUUUUGAUACAUAUAAUGUAUAGUGAUCAGAUGAGGGUGAUUAGCACAUCAACAUCAUCUCAAACAUUCAUCAUUUCUUUGUAUUGGGAACAUUCAAUAGCCUCCUUCCAGCUAUUUGAAACCGUAUAUUAGCAUUAACUAUAGUAAUCCUACAGGAGUAUAGAACACUACAGUUUAUUUCUCUUAUCUCUCUUAUUUAGCUAUGAUUUUUGUUUACUUUAAUGAAUCUCUGCCUAUCCUGAAAUGCUAAAGAAUCAAGAUUUUAGAGACAAUAAGAUCUGGUCCUAGGCCUAGAACCCCUGCAUGAGAGGAACCAGGGACAGAAUUCUCCCUAGAUACCUUUUCUCAGGAAGAAAGAAGGAUACUUUUAAUGAGCUUGACUUUGCAGUCUCCAUUCCACAGAGUUUCUCCCUUCAUUGAAGAAGGAAGACCAAUAGUGACCUCAAUAAGUACUUGAACAAAUAGCUGGGGAGCACAGUAUUCAUAACCACCAAUACUCAGCUCCCACCGAUACUCAGGCACAAGUCAAUUAAAGGGUUGGACUACGAGCAAGGACAGUUCUUAUUUUGGCUGCCUGUAGAUUACACCAAAAUCCACAAGAAAGGGGAAUAGCUAAGCUUAGAAUAAUUUAUAAAUGCACUUUGUGUUAAGAACAAUACUCUUGAGAUUAUAAAACAAAGGAACAUCAUGUUGAAAAAGGGAAAAGAGCAACUCUGAUUAUAUUAAAUCAACAAUAAUUUGCUAUAUACAUGAUUAUGGAAUAUAAAACAAAAUGAUCUAAUUUUUCCAGAUAGCAUGGGGCUCUUGUAUUACAUUGUGCUAUUAUAUGACAAAGCACAUCAAAUAUGAUUUCAGCAAAAUACUUAACAUAGGUAUAAGUAAUAUAUUCCUGACAUGAGUUUACAUCAGGAAGAAAACACAGGGACAUUUCAGAACAUUCAACUUUAUUUUCCAUUGACAAACACGACAUAAAUAACACACAUUUAUUAAAUACACAUACUAGCUAUGGCUUGAAUGGCAACAAAAGUCUAAUGUAUUUUCAGAGGCUCUUUAUUUUUUUGUCUCCACAGUAUUGAAGACCAGCCUUUAAAACAUACUAGAAGAUAUAUUUAAAUACACUGACGAUAACUACCCAUGAAACUUUACAUAGAGGUGAUAAAAUAGACUUUUCCAUUUAAUCAAGUAUAUAGGGAUGGAUGCUGUGGAGGAGAGGUGAAGAACACUAUUCUUUCAAUACUGAUCUUUACAAUAUGGAUUAGAGUGCCAAUGAUUUCAACUCCUCCUUAGGCACACCAUGUAAAUAGUACUUACAUCCACUUGUUACAAACAGAUCAAAAUAAUCAGUGCCUAUUUUAAUUGAUUUGCUUAAACAGGCUUAUACUAUUUGUACAAAAAUAUUUGAUAAGGAGAGCAAGAAGGCAAACUAUUUUUUUCUCUUUCGAGGAAGAAAGUUGGGAAGGAAGAGAGUUCAGCAGCCAAUAAUGGCCUGAGUGAACUUAUCAUUUGCUUUGACAGACAAGACCCCUGGCCACUCAGUAGUUUGUCCUACUGAUGCUCAAGUGUUCAAAGAUAAAUGCAAUCAGCCCCUUCCUCUCUUUGCUUCCAGGGCCUGGCGCAAAAUGAUGAAGUUCAACAGGUAGAAAAUGGACAGGUUUUCCAUCAUAUCUUUUUCUGUGUUCUCUGCCCCACCUACAUGAAUGUCCUUUCAAAAGUAGAACAUUGAAGUGUGUUAGUAAAUCAUAUGCAUUUCCCCCUGCUUAACAUUACAGCUUUGAUUUCUACACACAUGGAAAACUGUAUAAGGAAUCUAUAUUUGAAUUCCUAUUAAAGUUUGAUGAUUGGCUGUUUUUGCCUAGAUGUUUGGCUCGCUUUAAUUAAAGGAUUAAAAUAUUCUAAUUCUAAAGCAUUUAACAAUAGUAUUGAGGAGAUGCAUGAAUGAUAAUAACUUGAGAAGUAGAAUCAUCUCCAAAUUGCUCAAAAAAGCAUGAAAAGGCUGACUUGUUUCUAAUGGUGAUCUCUUUCCUUCUCAUCUUUACUCCCAUAAUAAAUUCUUCAACAAAGCAGACUUACUACACAACAGAUUCUGAUCUGUUUCACAUAUUAGGGUACUGGCACUUUAAAAAUAUGAAGUUAUUAUCUCUCCUCUUAAAAACAAUCCCAGCCUCACCAACAGGAAAUAUGUUUGUUACUUUCUCUCUGUGAAAGAAUGGAUAAGCACCGUAGAGUCAAGGGGACUAGGAGAAAACAGUGUAGUUUCAAAUGAAGAAAUAUGUAAUGUAGUAGAUAUCUGGGUUGCUUAUUAUAUGAAGCUGAUUGAUACAAAGCUUCUGAAAAUAAGAUAAUUUUUAUUCUCAGGGAAGAAAAUGUGUGACAUAUAAAUGAAUAUGAUAUGUAUCUGAUUGAAUUAUAUUUCUAGAGAAUCAUAAUGCACUCUGCUUAUGGUAUCAUAAUGUAAUGGUAUAUGACUAAACUUGUAUAAAUUAUAACCCUUAAAUAGAAUCUUCAUUUUAGGAAUUACAAAACAGAGAACAUAUCAAAUAAAACGUUUCUCCUAAUUCUUUUAUCAUCAUCACCACCUAGUUUCCUUACAAUACUGAACUAAUGUCAGCUUCUUAACAAAUAUGUAUGUGAGUUUAGGUUGGUUAUUAAAUUUUGUAAAUUGGCUCGAUCAUAACCUAUGUCAUGAAACAUCACAGACAUCUGUCACUUUGUGUCAGCACUUUAUUGCAACUCAGAAAAGUCUUAUGGACUAAGCCACAGUUGCACAAUUCUGUACAUUUUUUAGACCUCCGUUUUAACAGAUUUUGAGAUAUAUAAACAUAUAAAACAAGCAAUAAACAAGCAGCUGUUAAAUUUUGUCAUUGUUGAUGGUUUGUACUUGUUAUAUAUAUAAAAGAUAGAAAUUUUAAUUCUUCAAGUUAAGUUUUUUGCAUGUUUGUAAUAAUAAAUGCUCUGUAGGCUCCCCAUGUCAUUCAGCUCCUAGAAUCCUGUGUAUUGCAGGAGAAGCUUUUGGGGUUAAAUUAUGAAAAUAAAUAGAUACUAUGCAUGUCUAAAAUUUCAAAGAACAAAAGUUUUCUAUGUUCUUUUUCUGAGUUGAUCUCAACCAAAAGAACUAUUAAAUGAUUGCUGAUGUGGAGAAGGUUGAAAGCUGACCAAUAAUUUGGAGUCAAAAAGAACAAAAUUAUAAAAAGCAUUGAAUAAAUAAAAAGCCUAAUCUACUUGAAAAUCCAAUAUUAGAAUACUGCCACAGUGUGACCCCCUUAUUAAAAUACUGUUUGCCAGUUUUUAGUUUGUCUGUCACUCAACACCAAUGUGCUCACAGGAUCUUUCAUAGUUAACUUACAUGAGGUUUUGCAAUUAUUUUCUGCAACAUGGUCAAGAGAUAUUUUAUAAAAUAAAGAAAUGUAAGUGGAAAUAUAUGUAUACCUUGUAUUUCAGACUAGUUUAAAUCUGGCAUGAUUAAACACUUACAUUUACCUAAAAUAUCUUGGGAUAUAUACAGCACGAGGUUAAUUUGGUAAAUAUUGAGAUAACUCAUUUUUGUUUCUUCAACUUCAAGAUAUUUUUAAGACAUUCAUCAUAGCUAUUUUAUUUGAAAAGUAAACUGCUCUCAUUAAGUAACAUGUGAUCAUUCUCAUCUAUGACUCAGCAUAGUAUAUAAAUUCAUUGUUUGGAAAAUAAACCCUACUUGGUAAAAUUGACACUUGCUAAUUUUACAUAUAUUUCUACAUUUCAUUCGCUUACUUCUUCCAACAUGGUUUUCUUGGCCUUUAAUUGUCUUUUAACCAAUACUUCAAAGUUCAGGAAUAUCAUAAUCUAUACAUGCAUUUUUCCUGAUUAGACAUAUGCAUGGACAAACUAAGUAUACAUGAGUGAACUUGAAAGCCAAUAAAAUUAAACUUAGACACGUCUUUCUGCUGUGACUACGUAUAUCCUCUUUCUAACCACCGCCUUAGUCUCUGUACAUCUCUGAAAUCUAACCUCAGCCAUCACAAAAAGGCUGAAAUCAUUUGGGAUUUUCAUUUUUUAUCAGGUUUCCCUGGACUAACGAAUGUCUAGAUAACAAAACUCAUAUGCCAUUCACCUAAUUUCUUUCUUUUCCACCUCCCUUUCAAGCUUGUUAAAAAAAAAACACAAAAGCUGCCAUUCAUCCCCUCCUAAAAUAUAUCUCCUGGGCAGGAAUUUAUUUUGCAGUUAAGAAUAAGUUUCAGGCUUUUUGGCUUUCUGUAUUUUUGUGGUUAGAUGAAAAGUGAUAUUCUUUUGGUAGUAAUAUCCACUAUCAUUUGUAAGUAUCGGUCUCCUAAAUUAUUAGUAUAAAUAAAGCACUUUGUUUUACAGCAAUAUGACACUGCACCCUUGAAGGUAAAUUCAUAUUUCUGUAAUUAAAUAAGAAGAAAUAAUUCACUUUAUCAGCCUGAUGGACUGUAAUGGCAUGAAGCACUUCAAUCAUAUGGUAUGUGCCUUGCCAAUGUGUACUGUUCUGGCAAACUUCUGCUUAUUGAUUCACUGAAUAAAUAUUUAUUGGACAAUUUCUAUAUUCCAGGUGUUAUACUAGAUGCUGGAAGGAAUAACUUAAUCAUGCUCAUGCCACUCAAAUCUACACUGCCUCUGUGUCUAUCUGAUUAGAACUUAGGGUCACAGGACCACCCAAGAGGUAAAGCCUCUUUAUUAUGUGAUUUAAGUGCACUUUUGAAAAAAAGUAGGUAGUUUUGUCUUAUACUCAAUGAGUUGACCCAUGGGAUAAUCCAAUUCUAUGGCAUAGAGAGGUUUUAGUAUAGUCUAUUUAUCUUUUCCAAAAUUUAGAUUAGUAGAACCAUCAUGAAUUACAUAAGCGCUCUCAGCAGAUUUUGUCUGCAAAUUCAAUUUGACAUGAUCAUUUAAAAUGAUUAGUCCCGAUGACAUAGGCUGGUGUAUAUAUCAAUCUGAUAAGACAUAUUGCACCUACCGAAAUUAAUUCUUUACCAAAUGACCACUAAACACACGCACAAAUAUGCAGUUACUACAAGAAGUAUAAAUAAAUCUCAAGCUUUUAAAAAACUAGAAAAGCAGUACAAGAAACUGCAAAUGAAAAUCUUUGCAAUAAAAAGUUAAUGGGUUUACAAAAUGAAUGCACCAAAGAAUAUGACAAGCUUUGUGCAGGCGUAAACUACAGGAUUACUAUGUUUGGUGGGGAGACAUUUCUAAGAAGUGCAAUUCCCAAAACUUAAUGUAGUGAUCUACUGGUGCACAAAUAUGUCAGGCUUAGCUAUUGAGGUUUGUACUCAUGUGGACUGUAGGAAAAACAUUUUAGUAAUAAAUAUUUAGAUAGAGCCACUUUGGGGAGCAGGCAGAAGAGCUGUGAAGGGUCAAUGUUAUUAAUUUUCUUAUAUAAAUAGGCCAAACAAUGGAAAGUAUUCACUGACUCUUCAAAAUAUUUAUUUGUUUUGGACUCAGUAUUGAAAUGUAAUGAGUCAAAGACUGGGGAACACUUUUGGUGAAAAAU
Cercocebus atys (sooty mangabey) is the source of this 9717-nucleotide long non-coding RNA. RefSeq lists it as uncharacterized. The record is from RefSeq and is a predicted model, not a curated record. The transcript has 5 exons. NCBI's taxonomy places the organism in Eukaryota, Metazoa, Chordata, Mammalia, Primates, Cercopithecidae.